AGAGUUUGAUCCUGGCUCAGAUUGAACGCUGGCGGCAGGCCUAACACAUGCAAGUCGAGCGGAUGAGUGGAGCUUGCUCCAUGGUUCAGCGGCGGACGGGUGAGUAAUGCCUAGGAAUCUGCCUGGUAGUGGGGGACAACGUUUCGAAAGGAACGCUAAUACCGCAUACGUCCUACGGGAGAAAGUGGGGGAUCUUCGGACCUCACGCUAUCAGAUGAGCCUAGGUCGGAUUAGCUAGUUGGUGAGGUAAAGGCUCACCAAGGCGACGAUCCGUAACUGGUCUGAGAGGAUGAUCAGUCACACUGGAACCGAGACACGGUCCAGACUCCUACGCGAGGCAGCAGUGGGGAAUAUUGGACAAUGGGCGAAAGCCUGAUCCAGCCAUGCCGCGUGUGUGAAGAAGGUCUUCGGAUUGUAAAG
RNAcentral lists this ribosomal RNA (420 nucleotides) under uncultured bacterium. RNAcentral's name for it is "bacterial SSU rRNA". It matches the Rfam family "Bacterial small subunit ribosomal RNA", at positions 8 to 430 of the family's 1533-position model. The record is from RNAcentral.